GAUGAACGCUGGCGGCGUGCUUAACACAUGCAAGUCGAACGGUGAAGGCGGAGCUUGCUCUGCUGGAUCAGUGGCGAACGGGUGAGUAACACGUGAGCAAUCUGCCCCUGACUCUGGGAUAAGCGCUGGAAACGGCGUCUAAUACUGGAUACGAGCUGCGAAGGCAUCUUCAGCAGCUGGAAAGAAUUUCGGUCAGGGAUGAGCUCGCGGUCUAUCAGCUUGUUGGUGAGGUAAUGGCUCACCAAGGCGUCGACGGGUAGCCGGCCUGAGAGGGUGACCGGCCACACUGGGACUGAGACACGGCCCAGACUCCUACGGGAGGCAGCAGUGGGGAAUAUUGCACAAUGGGCGAAAGCCUGAUGCAGCAACGCCGCGUGAGGGACGACGGCCUUCGGGUUGUAAACCUCUUUUAGCAGGGAAGAAGCGAAAGUGACGGUACCUGCAGAAAAAGCGCCGGCUAACUACGUG
Molecule: ribosomal RNA, 468 nt
Filed under: uncultured bacterium
Lineage: Bacteria
Description: partial 16S ribosomal RNA
Rfam family: Bacterial small subunit ribosomal RNA
Source: RNAcentral